Molecule: microRNA precursor, 72 nt
Organism: Gadus morhua (Atlantic cod)
Lineage: Eukaryota; Metazoa; Chordata; Actinopteri; Gadiformes; Gadidae
Gene: gmo-let-7g-1
Product: gmo-let-7g-1
Source: Ensembl
UGAGGUAGUAGUUUGUAUAGUUUUAGGAUCACACCAGAUCUGGGAGAUAACUAUACAGUCUACUGUCUUUCU